UGUUGGCGGGGUAACGGCCCACCAAGGCGACGAUCAGUAGGGGUUCUGAGAGGAAGGUCCCCCACAUUGGAACUGAGACACGGUCCAAACUCCUACGGGAGGCAGCAGUGAGGAAUAUUGGUCAAUGGGCGAGAGUCUGAACCAGCCAAGUAGCGUGCAGGAUGACGGCCCUAUGGGUUGUAAACUGCUUUUAUAAGGGAAUAAAGUGAGUCUCGUGAGACUUUUUGCAUGUACCUUAUGAAUAAGGACCGGCUAAUUCCGUGCCAGCAGCCGCGGUAAUACGGAAGGUCCGGGCGUUAUCCGGAUUUAUUGGGUUUAAAGGGAGCGUAGGCCGGAGAUUAAGCGUGUUGUGAAAUGUAGACGCUCAACGUCUGCACUGCAGCGCGAACUGGUUUCCUUGAGUACGCACAAAGUGGGCGGAAUUCGUGGUGUAGCGGUGAAAUGCUUAGAUAUCACGAAGAACUCCGAUUGCGAAGGCAGCUCACUGGAGCGCAACUGACGCUGAAGCUCGAAAGUGCGGGUAUCGAACAGGAUUAGAUACCCUGGUAGUCCGCACGGUAAACGAUGGAUGCCCGCUGUUGGUCUGAAUAGGUCAGCGGCCAAGCGAAAGCAUUAAGCAUCCCACCUGGGGAGUACGCCGGCAACGGUGAAACUCAAAGGAAUUGACGGGGGCC
RNAcentral lists this ribosomal RNA (674 nucleotides) under uncultured bacterium. RNAcentral describes it as "bacterial SSU rRNA". It matches the Rfam family "Bacterial small subunit ribosomal RNA", at positions 247 to 921 of the family's 1533-position model. The record is from RNAcentral.